This is a long non-coding RNA of Acanthochromis polyacanthus (spiny chromis), 272 nucleotides long. RefSeq lists it as uncharacterized. The transcript is spliced from 3 exons. NCBI's taxonomy places the organism in Eukaryota, Metazoa, Chordata, Actinopteri, Pomacentridae. The record is from RefSeq and is a predicted model, not a curated record.
UGGUUUUUCUUUUUGAUUUCCUCGUCAAGAGGAAAUUCCUCUUGGGGGUUCAAUUCCAUAGAUUGGCAGUUCACGGUAUUCGGUUCUUCGCAGUAAGUGUCGUCAUUCUGUGACUCUUGUUGGUUCAUGGCAGACAGUUCUUCUGUGCUAAAGUCCGAUUGCAGUGAAACGCUCCAUCAUUCAGAAGUUCCCGGUACACAGAGGUGACGACGUGCAAGUUUUGAGAGAUGAGGAAAGCUGGACUCAUUCAUCUUCCACCGUUUGAAAGGAUC